ACUGCUCAGUAACACGUGGAUAACCUGCCCUUGGGACCGGGAUAACCCCGGGAAACUGGGGAUAAUACCGGAUAACGCAUAUCUGCUGGAAUGCUUUAUGCGUAAAAUGGAUUUGUCUGCCCAAGGAUGGGUCUGCGGCCUAUCAGGUAGUAGUGGGUGUAAUGUACCUACUAGCCUACGACGGGUACGGGUUGUGAGAGCAAGAGCCCGGAGAUGGAUUCUGAGACAUGAAUCCAGGCCCUACGGGGCGCAGCAGGCGCGAAAACUUUACAAUGCGGGAAACCGUGAUAAGGGGACACCGAGUGCCAGCAUCAUAUGUUGGCUGUCCAGAUGUGUAAAAUACAUCUGUUAGCAAGGGCCGGGCAAGACCGGUGCCAGCCGCCGCGGUAACACCGGCGGCCCGAGUGGUGAUCGUGAUUAUUGGGUCUAAAGGGUCCGUAGCCGGUUUGGUCAGUCCUCCGGGAAAUCUGACGGCUCAACCGUUAGGCUUUCGGUGGAUACUGCCAGACUUGGAACCGGGAGAGGUAAGAGGUACUACAGGGGUAGGAGUGAAAUCUUGUAAUCCCUGUGAGACCACCUGUGGCGAAGGCGUCUUACCAGAACGGGUUCGACGGUGAGGGACGAAAGCUGGGGGCACGAACCGGAUUAGAUACCCGGGUAGUCCCAGCCGUAAACGAUGCUCGCUAGGUGUCAGGCAUGGCGCGACCGUGUCUGGUGCCGCAGGGAAGCCGUGAAGCGAG
RNAcentral lists this ribosomal RNA (740 nucleotides) under uncultured Methanosarcina sp. RNAcentral describes it as "bacterial SSU rRNA". It matches the Rfam family "Archaeal small subunit ribosomal RNA", at positions 85 to 823 of the family's 1478-position model. Lineage: Archaea; Methanobacteriati; Methanobacteriota; Methanomicrobia; Methanosarcinales; Methanosarcinaceae. The record is from RNAcentral.